Molecule: non-coding RNA, 154 nt
Filed under: Candidatus Makaraimicrobium thalassicum
Lineage: Bacteria; Pseudomonadati; Candidatus Omnitrophota
Description: 6S RNA
Rfam family: 6S / SsrS RNA
About the family: E. coli 6S RNA was the first non coding RNA to be sequenced, but its function was unknown until recently. It consists of 184 nucleotides that fold into an extended hairpin structure with a large single-stranded internal bulge. The 6S RNA specifically associates with RNA polymerase holoenzyme containing the sigma70 specificity factor.
Source: RNAcentral
AACAACCUGUCGGGUUCGUGAAGCAGGUUUAUGAAUUGGGCCAACAUUUAAACCUUGGGAGUCUAACUCCGGUGGUUCUUCGGGAUUGCCGGGAAGGCACCCACCUGGAUUACCAGGCCGCCAAUUCUUUUCCUGCACACGGCUUGACGGAUCA